CUGUUUGUUAUGAACUGGUUUGGUGGAUCGGAUGUGGGGGUAUUGUCUGCGGGCCUCUUCAGAGGUCGGCUCCCCUGAAAAGCAUUAGCGGACCCGUUUGCGGACCCGUCACUGGUGUGAUAAUUAUCUACGCCAAAGACACAACUGCUCUCUGGUAGUUCUGCUUCUAAUCGUCCUUUAGUUGGACAAUCAAUAUUUGAAUGCUUGACCUCAAAUCAGGUAGGACUACCCGCUGAACUUAAGCAUAUCAAUAAGCGGAGGAAAAGAAACUAACAAGGAUUCCCCUAGUAACUGCGAGUGAAGCGGGAAAAGCUCAAAUUUAAAAUCUGGCGGUCUUUGGCCGUCCGAGUUGUAAUCUAGAGAAGCGUCUUCCGUGC
This 377-nucleotide ribosomal RNA is filed under the name uncultured fungus. RNAcentral's name for it is "eukaryotic LSU rRNA". The stretch from base 206 to 377 matches the Rfam family "Eukaryotic large subunit ribosomal RNA", at positions 1 to 170 of the family's 3401-position model. The record is from RNAcentral. Lineage: Eukaryota; Fungi.